AACGAACGCUGGCGGCAGGCCUAACACAUGCAAGUCCAGCGCGCCCUUCGGGGUGAGCGGCGGACGGGUGAGUAACGCGUGGGAACGUGCCCUUUUCUACGGAAUAGCCUCGGGAAACUGAGAGUAAUACCGUAUACGCCCUUUGGGGGAAAGAUUUAUCGGAAAAGGAUCGGCCCGCGUUGGAUUAGGUAGUUGGUGGGGUAAUGGCCUACCAAGCCGACGAUCCAUAGCUGGUUUGAGAGGAUGAUCAGCCACACUGGGACUGAGACACGGCCCAGACUCCUACGGGAGGCAGCAGUGGGGAAUCUUAGACAAUGGGGGCAACCCUGAUCUAGCCAUGCCGCGUGAGUGAUGAAGGCCUUAGGGUUGUAAAGCUCUUUCAGCUGGGAAGAUAAUGACGGUACCAGCAGAAGAAGCCCCGGCUAACUCCGUG
RNAcentral lists this ribosomal RNA (433 nucleotides) under uncultured bacterium. Its description in RNAcentral is "partial 16S ribosomal RNA". It matches the Rfam family "Bacterial small subunit ribosomal RNA", at positions 29 to 507 of the family's 1533-position model. The record is from RNAcentral.